This 230-nucleotide long non-coding RNA is filed under the name Lathyrus oleraceus (garden pea). RNAcentral describes it as "Pisum sativum (pea) long non-coding RNA (PSAT_LNC031516)". Lineage: Eukaryota; Viridiplantae; Streptophyta; Magnoliopsida; Fabales; Fabaceae. The record is from RNAcentral.
AAAAUAAAAAUUAAUGCAAAAAUGAUUUUAAAAAUUGAGAAAAAAAGUAUGUGAUGCACAAUAUUUUUAAUGACUUUGUGUAAAAAAAAUUGGAUCAAAGUGAAUUAAAAUGAGUGAUAAAAUAAAUUGGAAAAUAAAUUAAAUAAAUGAAGAGAAAAUAAGAAGAAAUUAAAAUAGAAUAAGGCGUCAAUGGCAAGGGAAUUCAACAAAAUGUGUUGGCGCAAUGUGAU